CGGGGUGUAGCUUAGCUUGGUAGAGCGCCUGGUUUGGGACCAGGAGGUCGCAGGUUCGAAUCCUGUCGCCCCGACCA
This 77-nucleotide transfer RNA is filed under the name Verrucomicrobiota bacterium. RNAcentral's name for it is "Verrucomicrobia bacterium tRNA-Pro". It matches the Rfam family "tRNA". Rfam says of the family: Transfer RNA (tRNA) molecules are approximately 80 nucleotides in length. RNAcentral also lists the same sequence under 4 other names. The record is from RNAcentral. Lineage: Bacteria; Pseudomonadati; Verrucomicrobiota.